RNAcentral lists this ribosomal RNA (253 nucleotides) under uncultured bacterium. RNAcentral describes it as "partial 16S ribosomal RNA". It matches the Rfam family "Bacterial small subunit ribosomal RNA", at positions 524 to 776 of the family's 1533-position model. The record is from RNAcentral.
UACGUAGGUGGCAAGCGUUGUCCGGAUUUACUGGGCGUAAAGAGCGCGCAGGCGGUCGUUCAAGUCGCGUGUGAAAGCCCCCGGCUCAACUGGGGAGGGUCACGCGAUACUGAUCGACUCGAAGGCAGGAGAGGGAAGUGGAAUUCCCGGUGUAGUGGUGAAAUGCGUAGAUAUCGGGAGGAACACCGGUGGCGAAGGCGGCGACCUGGGACAAUACUGACGCUGAGGUGCGAAAGCGUGGGGAGCAAACAGG